AUUAAGUUUAUUUUUCAGUUUUUAGAUACGAUGUUUUGACUCUUCGUCCUAUUUGAAGUUUUUUUGUGAUUAAUAUUUUUAUUGUUACUGGAUGGUAAAACAUGAAUAAUACUUUAUGCAUGACUAAUUUUUUAAAGUUUUUUUACAAAUUUUUCAAAUAAGACGAAUGGUCAAACUUUGAACAUAGAAAUCGAAAAAUGAAGUUAUU
RNAcentral lists this microRNA precursor (208 nucleotides) under Oryza brachyantha (malo sina). RNAcentral's name for it is "MIR812 microRNA precursor family". It matches the Rfam family "MIR812 microRNA precursor family". Lineage: Eukaryota; Viridiplantae; Streptophyta; Magnoliopsida; Poales; Poaceae. The record is from Rfam by way of RNAcentral.